AUGCCGUCGAUUGGCAAGGCCACCGACAACGGCGAGAUGAAGCAGCGGCGGCCGGAGCAGGAGCUGGUCUGCGUCACCGGGGCCGGAGGCUUCAUCGGCUCCUGGGUCGUCAAGGAGCUCCUCCUCCGCGGCUACCGCGUCAGGGGAACCGCCCGAGAUCCCGCUGACCGCAAGAACGCCCAUCUGCUCGCGCUGGAGGGCGCCGAGGAGAGGCUCACCCUGUGUCGCGCCGACGUCCUCGACUAUGACGGCCUCCACGCCGCCUUCCGCGGCUGCCAGGGCGUCUUCCAUGUCGCCUCCCCGGUCUCCAACGACCCUGACCUUGUGCCAGUCGCCGUCGAGGGAACCAAGAACGUGAUCAGAGCGGCGGCGGACGCCGGCGUGAGGCGUGUGGUGUUCACGUCGUCCUACGGCACCGUGCACAUGAACCCCAACCGCGGCCCUGACGCCGUGCUCGACGAGUCCUGCUGGAGCGACUACGACUUCUGCAAGAACACAGGCAACCUCUACUGCUGCGCGAAGAUGAUGGCGGAGAUCACUGCGACAGAGGAGGCCGCUAAGAGGGGCCUGGAGCUUGCAGUGGUGGUGCCGUCCAUGACCAUGGGCCCCAUGCUGCAGCAGACGCUCAACUUUAGCAGCAGCCAUGUCGCCCGCUACCUCACCGGCGCCAAGCCCACCUACCCGAACGCCGUCGCCGCCUACACCGACGUCCGCGAUGUCGCCCGUGCACACAUUCUCGUCUACGAGCACCCCAACGCGCGUGGCCGCUACCUCUGCAUCGGUGCCGUGCUACACCGCGCACAUUUCCUGCAGCUGCUCGGCGACCUCUUCUCGCAGUACCACAUAACUGCCAAGUGCGAAGACGACGGCAAGCCCAUGGCGAAGCCGUACAAGUUCUCAAACCUGAGGCUGAGGGAGCUGGGGUUGGAGUUCACUCCGUUGAGGGAAAGUUUGUAUGAGACGGUGACAUGCUUGCAGAAAAAGGGCCACCUUCCUCUGCCCGUUGUUCCCAUAACACAAAAGCGUGCCUACUUGUAA
This 1038-nucleotide ribosomal RNA is filed under the name Triticum aestivum (bread wheat). Its description in RNAcentral is "partial small subunit ribosomal RNA". Lineage: Eukaryota; Viridiplantae; Streptophyta; Magnoliopsida; Poales; Poaceae. The record is from RNAcentral.